RNAcentral lists this ribosomal RNA (567 nucleotides) under uncultured bacterium. Its description in RNAcentral is "bacterial SSU rRNA". It matches the Rfam family "Bacterial small subunit ribosomal RNA", at positions 338 to 916 of the family's 1533-position model. The record is from RNAcentral.
CCUACGGGAGGCAGCAGUGGGGAAUUUUCCGCAAUGGGCGAAAGCCUGACGGAGCAAUACCGCGUGAGGGAAGAAUGCCUACGGGUUGUAAACCUCUUUUAUCAGGGAGGAACAAAAUGACGUGUACCUGAUGAAUAAGCAUCGGCUAACUCUGUGCCAGCAGCCGCGGUAAGACAGAGGAUGCAAGUGUUAUCCGGAAUUACUGGGCGUAAAGCGUCUGUAGGUUGUUGAACAAGUCAACUGUUAAAUCUUGAAGCUCAACUUCAAAAUCGCAGUCGAAACUGUUUGACUAGAGUAUAGUAGAGGUAAAGGGAAUUUCCAGUGGAGCGGUGAAAUGCGUAGAUAUUGGAAAGAACACCGAUGGCGAAAGCACUUUACUGGGCUAUUACUGACACUCAGAGACGACAGCUAGGGUAGCAAAUGGGAUUAGAUACCCCAGUAGUCCUAGCCGUAAACUAUGGAUACUAGAUGUUGAACAGAUCGACCUGUGCAGUAUUAAAAGCUAACGCGUUAAGUAUCCCGCCUGGGAAGUAUGCUCGCAAGAGUGAAACUUAAAGGAAUUGACGG